Molecule: long non-coding RNA, 882 nt
Organism: Vollenhovia emeryi
Lineage: Eukaryota; Metazoa; Arthropoda; Insecta; Hymenoptera; Formicidae
Exons: 3
Source: RefSeq, a predicted model, not a curated record
CUCUUUUACACAACAUUAUUAAAUAAGCGAAGAUGAUGUCGAAAGUUAUAAUUUUACUUAUAAAUUGACUUUUCGUGAUGGAGAAAGAUAGUUAAUAGUGUCCAAUGUUGCGAAAUUAUAUUUCACAAACCUUGGAUGCUAAGCUAAUGCAUAGGGUACACCAAGGUCACGUAAAUAUAUUUUGCACUUGAAACUAUAAUAAUCAAGGAAUUAUUAAAGCGCGACAUAAUGACGAAACGGGAGCAUGAGAAAACGUGCAUUUUAUACAAUAGCAAUGAGACUUUUAGAGUGAGUAAAUCACAUUAAUAUCGACUAUUAAAACCUGUCACUUCCGUCAUUUGAUGCACUCAAGUAAUCCAUUUUUUUUAAGGCAAUGACACGACAAUCGGCGGGAUUUGUUGGCAAUCGCGGUGCGCUGCAAAGCUGAUAAGUAAAACGUAGCAUUCCUACCAGGUCAGUCUACACGGACAGUUCGUUUGGGAGAGCCACCGUUAUUAAGUAUCUUCUACUUUCAUAUAGCCACGAUACCACCUACUUACACUUGUCGCUCAAAUUUAUUCCGUAUGUUUAUCUCUUGACGGGUACUAAUGAAAUAAAAAGCGGUACAGACGAAUACAAACGAAAUAGUACUCGCUGUCGGAUUUGAAAUAGCUUCAAUAAUGUCAAAAUUACUUACAACCCAAAUUUUUAAUAUUUUGUAUUUCUAUCCUCCUAAAGAUGGAUGUUAUCAACGACUUAGGAAAUAAUCGAAAUAAUAGUUUUUUGAAAUUUAAUAUACAUACAUUCUUUAUUAUGUAUGUCUAAUUAUAUUUUCCUAUCCUAUCCUCUAUUACUAGUAUACUAAAAUUUAAAUUAAAUAAUUUUACAAAUGUACUACAAAUU